Molecule: long non-coding RNA, 1710 nt
Filed under: Sus scrofa (pig)
Lineage: Eukaryota; Metazoa; Chordata; Mammalia; Artiodactyla; Suidae
Description: lncRNA (multiple genes)
Source: RNAcentral
GGGUGCCACUUCUGGACUGGAGCGUUUAAUGACUUGCAUGAGACCAUCUCUUUUGGGCUGCAUAGUGACCAGAAAUGCUUAAGAGAUGGCUGCUCCAUCAGCCUUGUCUCCGAAUGACUAGAUUGAGUAAUUUUCUGCUGUGCUGUCUACAUGUCCCUGGCAAUGGUUAUAUAGAGAAGAGGUCAGCAGAUGCCCAGUGACCUGUUGUUGUGUGGCUGAUGAAUAAGAAUAGGUUAUACAAAGAACCCAUCUACAAAAGGGUUAUGUAAAAAUUGAAGAAGAAAAUACAUCAGAAAUCGUAUGUUGCUCAAAAAGUAUAAAAUAUUUACCAUCUGGGUCUUAACAGAAAAAAAACCUUCUACCUCCUGACUUUGAGAAAUAAAUCUUUGUUGUCCUUAUCUACUGACCUUUUGUUACCUCAGCAUGACCUCGACUUACCUUGACUGAUACGCUGGGUGAAGGGGGAAGGAAGACCCUGGUGAGCAGAGUGAACAAAGGCAAAGAGCAUCAAGUGUUAAGGGCAAUGCAAGGGAUUCAGGACGGUUCCACUGUGGGGUUCUGUGGGGGCAAGAAAGGCAGGGGCUGGAUUAUGUGGAACUGUAUAUGUCAUGCCAACACUUUUUUUUUUUUCCAUUAAAAAAAUUCCUUUUUCUAGGAGUUCCCAUUGUGGCUUGGUGGGUUAAGGACCUGACAUUAUCUCUGUGAGGGUGUGGGUUCGAUCCCUGGCCUUGCUCAUGGGUUAAGGAUCUGGCGUUGCCAUGAGCUGUGGUGUAGGUCACAGAUGCAGCUUGGAUCCUGCGUUGCUGUGGCUGUGGUGUAGGCCAGCGGCUACAGCUCUGAUUCGACCUCUAGCCUGCAAACCUCCAUAUGCCACGGUUGCAGCCCUAAAUAGACCAAAAAAAAAAAGUUCACUCUGGCAUGAAGUGCUCCGAAGGGUGACUUCUUUGGGAAGCAGGGGAGAAGAGGACUGGAGGAAGAAGUUAGAGGCCCUGGUGAUGAGGGAAGGCACAAGAAAGGACAGGAAGAAGCUCUUAUUGACAGUCAGCAAUAUUCAUACAGUUCUUUCAUGAGAUUUUUCUUCCCAGUCCUUUUGAUAUAGCUUUUACAAGAGUGUUUUCCAAACAUGGUCCAUCCAUAAGAAUCCCUGGCAGGAGUUCCUGCUGUGGCACAACAGGACUGGUGGUAUCUCUGCAGCACCAGGAUGCAGGUUUGAUCCCUGGCCUGGCACAGCACAGUGGGUUAAAGGAUCCAGCGUUGCCACAUCCAUGGUGUAGUUAGAAAAUGCUGCUCGGAUCUGAUCCCUGGCCUGGGAACACCAUAUGCUGUGGGGCAAUCAAAAACAAAAACAGAAGAAUUAAAAGAAUCCUUGGCAAUCUGUGUUCUGCAGGUCUCUCCCUUGGAGAUCCUGACUCCCUAGGUCCAGUGGAGCCUAAGAAGCUGUAGGUGGGAGUUCCUGUUGUGACUCAUUGAAAACAAAUCCAGCUAGUAUCCAUGAGGAUGUGGGUUUGAUCCCUGACCUCACUAGUGGGUUAAGGAUCCAGCAUUGCUGUAAGCUGUGUUGUAGGUUGCAGAGGGGGCUUGGGACCCGAGUUGCUGUGGCUAUGGUGUAGGCUGGCAGCUAUAGCUACCAUUCAACCCCCUAGCCUGGAAACUUCCAUAUACUGUGGGUGCAGCACUAAAAAGCAGAAAAAAAAAAAAAAAAAAAAAAAA